UAUACAGAGAGUUAUAUAUAUGUUAAUUAAAAAAUUUCUAAACGUAUCUUUAUCUGAGGAAUUUAUUUAUUUAAUUGUUAAUUCAAUUAUAGAAAUCAUUUUAAAACAUCCAAUGUGUUUAAAUAGUGAAAUAUAUGAAGCAGUGCUUAUAUUUAAAGACUUUAAAAAUAAACAUAUUUCAACAUUAGUUUGGCGCUUCAUAAAUAUAUGCAAAGAGUUGAAUCCUGAACUAUUGGACAGACAAUUUUUAGACAAACAAACAGCUUUGGUCAUACAAAAAAAAAAGUUUAUGAUAAAAGCAGGUGCAGAUCCUAACAAUGAUUCGGUCUUGCAGUAUUCCUAUUUAUUGGAUAUAGGUAAGGAUAGGCAAGUUGCUCAAAUGGAUGGAACUGCCGUAGAAAGUGGUGACGCAAGUGGUGACGCAAGUGGUGACGCAAGUGGUGACGAAAGUGGUGAUGCAAGUGGUGACGAAAGUGGUGAUGCAAGUGGUGAUGCAAGUGGUGAUGCAAGUGGUGAUGCAAGUGGUGACGAAAGUGGUGACGACAAAGGUGAUGAAAAUGGUGAUGAAAAUGGUGAUGAAAAUGAAACCGCUACAAGUACAAACCCUGAAACGACUACCCAUAUUGAUAACAAGGUUGUAAAAUCAGCUCCUAACAAACAACACAGAAUAGAAGAAAGAAAAAAAAAAAAACUGAAAAAGGAAUUAUACAUAAAAGAACAAAACGAAAAAAUGUUAUCCACUAAAAUAUUAACCGAGGAAGAUUUUUAUAAACUAAAAAAACUAAGAGAUUAUAUAAAAAAUAAUAAAGAAGUAAAUACAAAAAAAAUAGAAGAUAUUUACAGUAGUAUAUGUAAUAAUAAUAGUGACAGUAAUGACGAACACGUUUUGUCAGAUGAUGAUGACAGUGAUGGUGAUAUUGGAGGUGAGCAAAAAGAGAUAACUGAAGAAGAUUUAUUAAUAACAAAAAAAGUAAAAAAAAGUAAAAUAAUAAAAAUGAAAAAAAAACAAAACAAAAUAGGUACUACUAACAGAUAUGUAACAAAUAAAGAAAAACAAAAAAAAAAAUCCUUUAUGAUGAUAAUGCAAAAAGUCAAAAGAAAAAAUAUGAGUGCAUUAAACAAGUAUGGAAAACUUAAAAGAAAGCUCAAAGGUAAAUUAGCAUCCAGAGCGAAAAAAACAAAAAUCAAAAACAAAAAUAUAAUGAAAAAGGUAAAGAGAAAUGCGAAGAGGUGAGUUGUAAAUACGUACCAAUUAAGCAAAUGGACCAAACCCCAAAUUUAAUUGAAGCAUUUAUAUGUUUCGUGUGUAUGUAUGUAUGUAUGUAUGUAUGUAACUUUUUAAAAAAAACAAAUGGUACCAUAUAUCAGUGUAUUAUAAUGUGCGUCCGUCCAUGCAUGGUAACACGUGCUAUUACAUAUAUAUAUAUAUAUAUAUAUAUAUAUAUAUAUAUAUAUAUGUAUAUAUGUAUGUACAUCCCAGAGCAAACACAAAUAUAGCUGAACUGCAUGAGCUUACCUUACCCUUUUUUUGCUUAUCAUUUUUACUUUUUGCAUGUAUAUAUAAAUGUGUACGUAUAUUUGUUAUUCCACAUUUGGUUAAUAAGCUAGACCGUUUGAUAGGUCAGCCGGGCG
This 1632-nucleotide long non-coding RNA is filed under the name Piliocolobus tephrosceles (Ugandan red Colobus). RNAcentral's name for it is "lncRNA (ENSPTEG00000007545.1)". Lineage: Eukaryota; Metazoa; Chordata; Mammalia; Primates; Cercopithecidae. The record is from RNAcentral.